This 254-nucleotide ribosomal RNA is filed under the name uncultured bacterium. Its description in RNAcentral is "partial 16S ribosomal RNA". It matches the Rfam family "Bacterial small subunit ribosomal RNA", at positions 524 to 776 of the family's 1533-position model. The record is from RNAcentral.
CACGUAGGGUGCGAGCGUUGUCCGGAAUUAUUGGGCGUAAAGAGCUCGUAGGCGGUGUGUCGCGUCGGCCGUGAAAACCUGCAGCUUAACUGUGGGCUUGCGGUCGAUACGGGCACCACUGGAGUUCGGCAGGGGAGACUGGAAUUCCUGGUGUAGCGGUGAAAUGCGCAGAUAUCAGGAGGAACACCGGUGGCGAAGGCGGGUCUCUGGGCCGAUACUGACGCUGAGGAGCGAAAGCGUGGGGAGCGAACAGG